GGGCCGGCGCGGAGCGCGCGACCGUGUGACGUAGGGCGUCCCCCUCCCCGCCGCGGGCGGCGGUUGGGGUUCCGCGGGAACGCGCACACAUUCCCUUCCUCCAACCCCGCUCACGCCCAAGCCCCAUGGAGGAGCCGGCGCCAGGGAGGGAGACAGGCAGCCAAUCAGCGUCGGGUGCAAUGCUGGUCGAAGCCAUACGUUGCCGGCAAACUUCUUGCGCACUUUAACCGCGUUUUCAGCAGCGUGAGAUGCCUGCACAGCAAGCAGUUGGUUUUCCGUGGAGAUGAUUCCUUCACAGCUGAACGUGCCUGACCAAAGCGCAAUGGAUGUCGGAUGGAUGUCACGAGUGGAGGGGAAAGCUGGUUACAGGAGAGUGCCUCGAACACUGAGCAAAUUCUUCCUAAAAAUAUGCGUUUGGUUCCCAGAUGAGUGUGUAGAUUGCUGCUCUGUUCCCAGAUGAGCAAGCCUACAUUUUCAUCUGACGUUCAUAUUAGUCGUGACCAAGAGGCCGUUCAUCUAUAUUGUAGUGGUGGAGAUAAAGAUACAGCACCUUAUGUAACAAAA
Alligator mississippiensis (American alligator) is the source of this 564-nucleotide long non-coding RNA. RefSeq lists it as uncharacterized. The record is from RefSeq and is a predicted model, not a curated record. Lineage: Eukaryota; Metazoa; Chordata; Crocodylia; Alligatoridae. The transcript is spliced from 2 exons.